AUUAUCUUGCAUCACCUGCAACAACUGAUCUGGCUUAUAUUGUAAUUUUAGAACAUACAAUUGCUGAAAGGGAGCGCAGCCCAGCGGUUGUUGCAAGGUGUGUGGCGCUUUUGAAGCGGUACCUUCUACGAUAUAAACCUAGUGAAGAGACACUACUUCAGAUUGAUCGGUUUUGUGUGUGCACAAUUGCUGAGUGUGAUACGAGUUCAAAUAGAUGGUCAUCACCAUGGUCACGAUCUAUGAAUCAACAGUCCGUUGUGUCAGCAGCUUCUACAAAUUCUUCACCUUCUUUGCCUGUAUCUAGUUUUGCUUCUGGGGCACUUGUAAAGUCAUUAAAUUAUGUGCGUUCCCUAGUGGCUAAAUAUGUAACCAAGCGGUCAUUCCAACCAGCAGCUUUUGCCGGAGCUCGCUCUGCAUCAAGACAGUCACUUCCAUCACUGUCAUCUUUGUUGAGUAGAUCCUUCAAUUCUCAAUUAAGCCCUGCUAAUGCUGGAGAAUCUUCAGAGAAGAAAGAUGCUACCAACUUACCUAUUUCAAAUUUGUCAAAUUUUGAAAAAGUUGAUGCAAGAGAAGACCUGGAUUAUAUUGCUGCUGAUGUUUUGAAGUGGUAUUGGGUUGCGGAACAUUCGUUAUCAUUUCUUUCUGCUGAAAAUGGCCGUUCUGUGGACCUCCAAGAUAUGAGCAUACGUAAUUUUCUAGAACUAGGUGCUGCAGCUCUGCUCGUAGGAGACAUGGAAGCCAAAAUGAAGGGUCAGCCUUGGAAAUAUUUUGGAACUGCUGAUAUGCCAUAUCUUGAUCAACUGUUGCAGCCCUCAUCAUUUACAACGGUCACUAAUUCAGCCUCUGCUCGUUCUCAUUUGAGAGCAAUAACUGCAUCUAAACGCAGUAAAUCAGGACCUCGGCAAAUUUGGCAUGUUCUUCUAACUGAAAUUUUUAUCAUGCAUGGAGAAUUUUGUUCCUAUUAUGAUUACUUUCUUCCCUUCUGCACAUAGAUGCAUUUCUUCUCUUAACAGAUAAUUGCUGACUUAUUUGUGCUAAGACCAAGCUCAAAGUUGCCUUUCAUUUAAGCAAGGGUGUUUGUGUGAUUGUAGCGAUAUUAAAGUUAACUUUGGCUUGAAUCUGGAGCGUAGUGUAACGGUUUAUGUUGUCCAGCUGGCCUUAUCUUUUCUCCACCUGGCCUCAUUUAUUUGUCUUUGAAGUUUGUAAAUAUAUGAAUCCUAAUGUUUUAGAUAUGCUAGGAAUCAUCUUUGUGUCAGUUUGGUUUAGAAUAUCCAAAUUUGACCAUGGUAAAUUCUCACAAAUGUUCUUCACUGUACCAGCUAGUGAAAGGAAUUGAAUCAGAUCAGCAUGUGAAUAGGAGGAUUCUCCUGCAAGCACAUUUCGCACACGUGCUCGACCACUGUUCCAGUAUCGCCACUACAGUGAACAGCAACCUUUACGACUGAAUCCUGCUGAGGUAUGCGAGGUCAUUGCUGCUGUUAGUUCCGAGACAUAUUCUCCGACUGCUAAUAAUUUCACCAUAUCAUCUAGACUAAGUAAUAACAGUGGAAAGCCAUCAAUGGAUGUGGCUGUGAGCGUCCUUAUUAAACUUGUCAUUGAUAUGUAUGUAGUGGACUCUGGGACUGCUGCCCCCCUCACUCUGUCCAUGCUUGAGGAAAUGCUUAGUUCUCCAAAAGCAACUUGUAGGGUUCGUGCUUUUGAUUUGAUUCUGAACCUUGGUGUCCAUGGUCAUUUACUGGAACCAAUGAUGGUGGAUGAUACUUCCACAAUUAAAGAAGAGUACUCACAAGAGGCAUUUGCUGAUACCGAUGAGCAACUUGCAGCACAGGAGAAUAGAAAAGCAGAUUCUGUUAACAAGUUGGGCUGUUUGUCAGCUAUUGAUAACUUUGAGUCUUGGAUUUUAAACAUUUUGUAUGAGAUACUUCUUCUUCUUGUCCAGACUGAGGAGAAGGAAGAAUCUGUCUGGGCUUCUGCUUUGAGCUGUUUACUUUAUUUUGUUUGUGAUAGAGGCAAAAUCUUGAGAAACCGGUUAGAAGGCCUUGACAUAAGGGUCAUUAAGACACUUAUAGAGGUUAGCCGGAUGAAUUCUUGGGCAGAAUUAGUUCAUAGCAGGCUUGUUUGCAUGUUAACAAAUAUGUGUUAUCAAGUUCCUGAUGAGCCGACACUAGAUGUUUCAAAGGCCCCAGUUUUUCUCAUAGACCAGGUUGUGUUGAUUGGAGGAAUUGAGUUCAUUUUCUAUGAGUAUUCUCUUUCUUCCUUGAGAGAAGACAGGAGAAAUCUAUAUUUGGUUCUUUUUGACUAUGUUAUGCACCAAAUAAAUGAAGCAUGUAUAGCUACUGGACUUUCUGAAUAUAGUGAUGAUGAGAUUCAACUUCUAUCAGCCCUGCUUUCUCUUGCUGAUGCACCUGAGGCUUUUUUCAUUUCUGUUAAACUUGGGUUAGAAGGCAUUGCAGAGCUUUUGAGAAGAUCAGUUUCUGCUGCAUUGUCAAGAUAUUCCAACAAUGAACGACUAAAUACGCUCUUAGAGAACAUAACAGAGAAAUUGGACGCAAUAAUUGGUUCUUUUACUCAUUUAGACAAAGAGUUUUCCCAUCUAAUGCAGAUAACAAAAUCUUACAAGUUCCUGGAAAGCAUUGAGAGUGCAGGCAUAAGAAAUAGUGUUAUCAUGAAAGCAAAGCUUGCAUGGGCUACUUUGCAUUCUCUUCUUCAUUCAGAAAGAAUUGCUUACCGCCAGAAUGGCUAUACCUGGUUAGGCGAUCUGCUUAUUGCAGAAAUUAGUGAUGGAAGGGAUGGGAGUAUAUGGUCGAAUAUCAAUAACUUGCAGCAUAUAAUUGCCCAUGCUAGUGUUCAUGAUUCUUCAGUCGCUUCAGAUGUUCCUUUGUCCAUUUGGCUUAUGUGUGGGCUUCUGAAGUCCAAGGACUAUCUCAUCAGAUGGGGCUUCCUAUUUGUCCUAGAGAGGCUUCUCAUGCGAUGUAAAUUUUUAUUGGGUGAGAAUGAAAUGCAACGGUUAAACAGCAUCAAUGCUGGUCAUGAACAUUUGGAUAGCCGGCUUGAGAAAGCAAAUGCAGUGAUAGACAUUAUGAGCAGUGCCUUAUCUUUGGUAGCUCAAAUAAAUGAAACAGAUCGCAUUAACAUUUUGAAGAUGUGUGACAUACUAUUCUCUCAGUUGUGCCUGAAAGUUCUACCAUCAACUGUGAUGCCAUAUGGAGAGCAUACCCAAGGUGGCACAGCCGAGAGUAAAAAAAUUGAUGGUGCUGAGCCUGUCUCUCAACAAGAGAACAGUCCCCGGAAUGAAUUUGUUGAGGAAACUGAUGGCAGGUCCAGCUACAACAUUAACGGUUCUCUGAAGUGGGAGACAGCAUCAAUGGCAGCCAUGCUUCUGAAAGGACAGGCUAUUGUUCCUAUGCAAUUAGUUGCACGUGUUCCUGCUGUGUUGUUCUAUUGGCCAUUGAUUCAGCUUGCUGGCGCAGCAGCAGACAAUAUUUCACUGGGUGUUGCUGUUGGUAGCAAAGGAAGAGGAAACCUUCCUGGUGCUGCAUCAGAUAUUAGGGCCACUCUUCUAUUGCUUCUAAUUGGUAAAUGCACAGCAGACCCUUCUGCUUUUCAAGAAGUUGGUGGAGAAGAGUUUUUUAGGGAACUUUUAGAUGAUACAGAUUCAAGGGUAGCAUAUUACUCUUCAGCUUUUCUUUUGAAGAGAAUGAUGACAGAAAAACCUGAUGAGUACCAACACAUGCUUCAGAACCUUGUCUUUAAAGCACAACAGAGCAACAAUGAAAAGCUGUUGGAAAAUCCAUACCUUCAGAUGCGUGGGAUACUCCAGUUAUCAAAUGAUGGGCUAUAGUCUAGUGACCCCUGUGCAAUUUUAUUGCUGCUGAUCUUGGAGAGAGUGCAUUCACGCUAAACUUGCUGUUCUUUGCUCAACAGUCAUGAUCUUCCACCUGGUAACAUUUGACCAAGUUCUGAACAUCCACAAUUGGAUUGCACUUGAUUUUCUAGGCAUAAAUUGAACAGCUACUCUGAUUAAUGGAGCACUUCAACCAGGCAAAAAAUUUUGAUUUAAGGAGUAGCAGGUUCCUAGUCCUCCUCCUCCUCCCCAAAUGAAAAAUAAGAAAAAGGCUGAUUAUACAAGUUGAAAUUGGUUUUACCUGGGAAAUCCAUUGUGCUUUAUAUAUAUGCACUCUUAUACGAGGUUCCUCUUUAGUUUAUUCACCCUGACACCUAGGAAAACAUUGAGCUUGAUGAUGCCUGCUUCCUGUAUCUCAAUAAUCAUUAUUUGGCUGUUGGGAACUUCUUCAUACAAUCAUGAAUAGACAUCAUCCGAAGAUUGAAAUCUGGAAACUGGAGGCUUGUUUUUAAAGCCAGACUACAAGUUCAGGAAACUUAUUGGAGUAAUUCUAUUCAUUGAUUGGCCAUCCUUCAUUUUGCCUCCUGUUCAGAUUUUGAGAUCCAACAUAUCUU
Molecule: unclassified non-coding RNA, 4458 nt
Filed under: Hevea brasiliensis (rubber tree)
Lineage: Eukaryota; Viridiplantae; Streptophyta; Magnoliopsida; Malpighiales; Euphorbiaceae
Source: RNAcentral